GCGCUCGUAGCUCAGUGGAUAGAGCAUCAGCUUGCGGAGCUGAGGGUCGAAGGUUCGAGUCCUUUCGAGCGCG
Molecule: transfer RNA, 73 nt
Filed under: Fimbriimonas ginsengisoli Gsoil 348
Lineage: Bacteria; Bacillati; Armatimonadota; Fimbriimonadia; Fimbriimonadales; Fimbriimonadaceae
Rfam family: tRNA
About the family: Transfer RNA (tRNA) molecules are approximately 80 nucleotides in length. Their secondary structure includes four short double-helical elements and three loops (D, anti-codon, and T loops). Further hydrogen bonds mediate the characteristic L-shaped molecular structure. tRNAs have two regions of fundamental functional importance: the anti-codon, which is responsible for specific mRNA codon recognition, and the 3' end, to which the tRNAs corresponding amino acid is attached (by aminoacyl-tRNA synthetases). tRNAs cope with the degeneracy of the genetic code in two manners: having more than one tRNA (with a specific anti-codon) for a particular amino acid; and 'wobble' base-pairing, i.e. permitting non-standard base-pairing at the 3rd anti-codon position.
Source: Rfam by way of RNAcentral